RNAcentral lists this ribosomal RNA (465 nucleotides) under uncultured bacterium. RNAcentral's name for it is "partial 16S ribosomal RNA". It matches the Rfam family "Bacterial small subunit ribosomal RNA", at positions 28 to 507 of the family's 1533-position model. The record is from RNAcentral.
GACGAACGCUGGCGGCGUGCUUAACACAUGCAAGUCGUACGGUAAGGCCCUUUCGGGGGUACACGAGUGGCGCACGGGUGAGUAACACGUGAGUAACCUGCCCACAACUUUGGGAUAACGCUAGGAAACUGGUGCUAAUACUGGAUAUGUGCUCCUGCUGCAUGGUGGGGGUUGGAAAGCUCCGGCGGUUGUGGAUGGACUCGCGGCCUAUCAGCUUGUUGGUGGGGUAGUGGCCUACCAAGGCGGCGACGGGUAGCCGGCCUGAGAGGGUGACCGGCCACAUUGGGACUGAGAUACGGCCCAGACUCCUACGGGAGGCAGCAGUGGGGAAUAUUGCACAAUGGGCGCAAGCCUGAUGCAGCAACGCCGCGUGCGGGAUGACGGCCUUCGGGUUGUAAACCGCUUUCAGCAGGGGCGAAGCUUUUUGUGACGGUACCUGCAGAAGAAGCACCGGCUAACUACGUG